RNAcentral lists this ribosomal RNA (321 nucleotides) under Triticum aestivum (bread wheat). RNAcentral describes it as "partial small subunit ribosomal RNA". The record is from RNAcentral. Lineage: Eukaryota; Viridiplantae; Streptophyta; Magnoliopsida; Poales; Poaceae.
UACCUUCAUCAAAAGAUGACCAAAACUCAAGCGCAGAGGCAACGACUUACCUUGAGCAGGGAGCAGUUCAUGAAGGUUAUUCCUCGUUGGUGCUAUGGAAAGGAUGACGGAUGGGCGAGUUUGGUGGAUAGGUGGCUCGGCGAUGAUGCAGAGUUUGCUGCCAAGAGCAGCAAGGCCCGAGCUAACCAUGGAAAAGACGGGACACACGGCCAAGGAAAUAGGAACCACUGGGGCUUCAAGGCCAUGAAGGAGGACAAGUUGAAGAGGCCGCUCUCAAACAUUGAGUCAUGGAAGCUGGCCCGCGAGCGGAGUGAUUGCAAG